This 253-nucleotide ribosomal RNA is filed under the name uncultured bacterium. RNAcentral's name for it is "partial 16S ribosomal RNA". It matches the Rfam family "Bacterial small subunit ribosomal RNA", at positions 524 to 776 of the family's 1533-position model. The record is from RNAcentral.
UACGGAGGGGGCUAGCGUUGUUCGGAAUUACUGGGCGUAAAGCGUACGUAGGCGGCUUUGCAAGUCAGAGGUGAAAGCCCGGGGCUCAACCCCGGAAUUGCCUUUGAGACUGCAUCGCUAGAAUUGUGGAGAGGUAAGUGGAAUUCCGAGUGUAGAGGUGAAAUUCGUAGAUAUUCGGAAGAACACCAGUGGCGAAGGCGACUUACUGGACACAUAUUGACGCUGAGGUGCGAAAGCGUGGGGAGCAAACAGG